GCUGCUGGCUGAAGUGAUUGUUUUUGCGGUGGAAAUCACGUUUUAUAAAAAAAAAAAAAAAUUUCUUUAUUUUCUUUUAUUUUGAUGCAUAUUAAAAAUAAUUUAUUUAUUUAUGUAUUUAUUUUGCUGAAAGUACUACACUGACAAUUACAAACACCAUAUUCAUGUCAGAUAUCAACAGCAUCGGAAGGAAGGAGAGGUGGGAAUUUUGCCAAUCCAUUACUAGUUACUACGUACGUCACCAUCUCCUUGUCGAUCUCCCAGUUGUUUUUCAGAACCUAUAUUCAUAGCAGCUCAUGACUUCACUGGAGUAGGAAUCCAGGCACUCUUUCCCUCUCUGAAAUAUUUCAUUAAUUUCUUUUUUUUUAUAUAUUUAUGUCCUGAUUUGCCUAGAUCAAAGUUAGAGUGGGGGAACACGGUAGUACUACUCUGCGUCCUCUUGAUUUGGCUGUAAAUUGCUUAUCAGUGAAGCAAGAGGAGGGGUCCUGUUAAUAUCACUCCGUGCUUGUUAAUGUUGGAUGCUUUAUUAUUAUUGUUAUUUUUUAAAAAAUAUUUACUGAUUCAUUUAUUUUUUCCCAUCCAUUUGUCUAGUUUCCAGGUUGUUGCUCAUACUCAGGUAAGUCCCAUUGAAGUUUUAGAUUGUUAAUUGUUAUUUCUUUUUUCUUUCCUAUUUUUAAUGCUUAAUGCCCUGUUUUGAAUAUGAAUGCAAUUUCAAAUUCUUUGAUUCACAUCAAUGGAGUUGUCAGGGUUUUUUUUUUUUUUUGUGAUAUGUUAUGUAUUUCUAAUAUCUGACUUGUAAGAAUUCAAGUGCGUGGAGUAUAUUCCUCGGCUUUUAUUUUUCAUUUUCUUGUCUCUUUGUUCCUCUCAUUUUCAUGAGCCUCAAAAUCAUGUGUAAAUCGUGAAGGGUCCAGCAUGGUUUCAUGCCAUGUUUCAUUGUUUCUCAAGGUCCUGGGAGAAACCUUUAGAUUUGAUCAUGGGCUCGUUGUUGAGACUCCCAAUUGUAUGCUUUUUGAAUGCUCUGUGAUAUUUUAGUCCUUGCUUUUAUCAAUGUAAGAUUGGCUCAGGUUAGGGACCUUUAUUUUUUCAAGAUUCUUCGGUGGUUUUUGGUUUCUGGGGUUUUCUCCAGCUUCUUUCAUAGUUAGUUUCCUUAUUAAAGCACCUUUGUUCGAUAUUAGCUGUCAUGCUAGACACAUUAGUGCUCUGGGGAUGGUGUUUUUUUCAUGUGUCUAUUGCUUACUUUACCUUGGUGUGCGAUGCGCAAGUGUUUUUCCUAUCUCUCUCGAGGGAAAUCUUUCAUGGAUCUUACGUGUGUUGUUUCUGUUUCUGUCUUGCAUACUGAUUCAGUUUCCUUUUCCUUUUCUGUGAUGUUUGCCAUCCUGUUGACAAAUCUUGACGGUCGAUAAUGUUCCUGAUGUUGUUUUGCACCAUUACCCUGCCUGUUUAUGGUCUCUAGCUUGUACCAUCGCUGCUCAUGUUGUUCUUGCCUCCAAUCUUGAGUUUUUUUCAUCAUUCUGCCAUUGUUUCCGUCUGUGCAUGAUGCCUUUCACUAACAAACAAAUGUACUCUGCUGUUUAUUUCAUCACCAACCAAUUCAGAUAAAUUCAUGCACCAUGGUUUGGUGCUCCCAUCAUUGGUUUUAUUAAAGGAAUGGACAGCACGCUGCUAUGAAGUCUACUUGAAAGGAACUGAUCCCAUGAGCUACAGCGUGCAAGUUGUGGAAAAACAAGGAUCAUUCCUCUAUGAAGAUGACUAUUCCAGCUUUCGACAUAGUUUUAAAACCUAGCCUAGUAGUUCGAUCCAAGACCUAGCUGAUCUUGAACUGAAACCAGGUCGGGUUUAAGUAAAGAUAGGGGAACGCAAAAACUCGGGUGACUCGGUCAAAAACCCGAGUUGACCUGAUGAUUUGGUUGACCUGGCAAGACUUGGUUGUAAACCAUAGACUAUAUAUUUUUUUAACAAAAACAACAUUGUUUUGUUUUGUUUUUUUUUUUAAAUUAGCCUGGUCAAAUUUAUAAUCCAAGUCUUGAUCUGGGUUAUUCACUUGAUCAAGUUUAAAAACUAUGUUUUUUAGCCGUGUAGCUGACUUUGAAUUUUGGUACGUCAUUUAGGAUUUUGGUCCAUUUGGUUUUUGUCUGGACAAGUCCUCGACUUCUUAACAAAAUACACUUUCAUAUUAUAGCUCACGGGCUGUUCUUAUGCUAUGCAGUCUGUAUCUUUUGUCACCAAAAAUGUUUAGCCUGGUUUAUUUAUUUUGCUACACAGAACUAGCUUUUUAUGUACUAGCCUUAUUAGUGUUGUUGAAGUAGAUGCGUUUGUAGCAUUUGUUCAACCAAGCGCAGGCACUGAUACUAGCUUAUUACCAUCGGAGAUGGCGAGAGAGGGAGGCAGAGCAUGGUUGUUUCUGGGUGGCAGAUACGCAGGCACAAGGUUGUCUCCUCGAAACCAAAGGCAUGUACCGACAAAGAAAUACAACACUUUUCAUCCCUCGUCAUAUUUUAGCAAAAUCCAAAAGCAGAAAAAUGAUUUCAUUUUUAGCGUUAUGCAAAGAGAGAUGCAGCAAGAUAGAGGAGUGAGUGAAGAUGUGGAGCCAAAUUAAGAAGGCAGAUUGAAGCCGACGCAGGGAGAUGAUCAACAGCAGUAGCAUCCACAGAAGUGCCAGUCGCUGUCUCUCUGAAUACUUUGUUUUUUGGUUCUGAAUAUGAAGUUUUCUUAUUAAAACAAUUGAGGUUUGUUUGAAAUAAUAUAAUAUAAUGUAAUCAGUAAUGGAAA
Molecule: long non-coding RNA, 2769 nt
Organism: Populus nigra (black poplar)
Lineage: Eukaryota; Viridiplantae; Streptophyta; Magnoliopsida; Malpighiales; Salicaceae
Exons: 4
Source: RefSeq, a predicted model, not a curated record